GACGAACGCUGGCGGCGUGCCUAAUACAUGCAAGUAGAACGCUGAAGAGAGGAGCUUGCUCUUCUUGGAUGAGUUGCGAACGGGUGAGUAACGCGUAGGUAACCUGCCUUGUAGCGGGGGAUAACUAUUGGAAACGAUAGCUAAUACCGCAUAACAAUGGAUGAAACAUGUCCUUUAUUUGAAAGGGGCAAUUGCCCCACUACAAGAUGGACCUGCGUUGUAUUAGCUAGUAGGUGAGGUAAUGGCUCACCUAGGCGACGAUACAUAGCCGACCUGAGAGGGUGAUCGGCCACACUGGGACUGAGACACGGCCCAGACGCCUACGGGAGGCAGCAGUAGGGAAUCUUCGGCAAUGGGGGCAACCCUGACCGAGCAACGCCGCGGGAGGGAAGAAGGGUUUCGGAGCGUAAAGCUCUGUUGUAAGUCAAGAACGGGUGUGAGGGUGGAAAGUUCACACUGUGACGGUAGCUUACCAGAAAGGGACGGCUAACUACGUG
This 497-nucleotide ribosomal RNA is filed under the name uncultured bacterium. RNAcentral's name for it is "partial 16S ribosomal RNA". It matches the Rfam family "Bacterial small subunit ribosomal RNA", at positions 28 to 507 of the family's 1533-position model. The record is from RNAcentral.